This 271-nucleotide ribosomal RNA is filed under the name Bacteroides fragilis. Its description in RNAcentral is "partial 16S ribosomal RNA". It matches the Rfam family "Bacterial small subunit ribosomal RNA", at positions 1 to 264 of the family's 1533-position model. Lineage: Bacteria; Pseudomonadati; Bacteroidota; Bacteroidia; Bacteroidales; Bacteroidaceae. The record is from RNAcentral.
ACAAUGAAGAGUUUGAUCCUGGCUCAGGAUGAACGCUAGCUACAGGCUUAACACAUGCAAGUCGAGGGGCAUCAGGAAGAAAGCUUGCUUUCUUUGCUGGCGACCGGCGCACGGGUGAGUAACACGUAUCCAACCUGCCCUUUACUCGGGGAUAGCCUUUCGAAAGAAAGAUUAAUACCCGAUAGCAUAAUGAUUCCGCAUGGUUUCAUUAUUAAAGGAUUCCGGUAAAGGAUGGGGAUGCGUUCCAUUAGGUUGUUGGUGAGGUAACGGC